AUUGAACGCUGGCGGCAUGCUUUACACAUGCAAGUCGAACGGCAGCGCGGGGCAACCUGGCGGCGAGUGGCGAACGGGUGAGUAAUAUAUCGGAACGUACCCAGAAGUGGGGGAUAACGUAGCGUAAGUUACGCUAAUACCGCAUACGAUCUACGGAUGAAAGUAGGGGACCGCAAGGCCUUAUGCUUUUGGAGCGGCCGAUAUCUGAUUAGCUAGUUGGUGAGGUAAAGGCUCACCAAGGCGACGAUCAGUAGCUGGUCUGAGAGGACGACCAGCCACACUGGAACUGAGACACGGUCCAGACUCCUACGGGAGGCAGCAGUGGGGAAUUUUGGACAAUGGGCGCAAGCCUGAUCCAGCAAUGCCGCGUGAGUGAAGAAGGCCUUCGGGUUGUAAAGCUCUUUUGUCAGGGAAGAAACGGUAGAGGCUAAUAUCCUUUGCUAAUGACGGUACCUGAAGAAUAAGCACCGGCUAACUACGUG
This 482-nucleotide ribosomal RNA is filed under the name uncultured bacterium. RNAcentral describes it as "partial 16S ribosomal RNA". It matches the Rfam family "Bacterial small subunit ribosomal RNA", at positions 30 to 507 of the family's 1533-position model. The record is from RNAcentral.